This 1161-nucleotide unclassified non-coding RNA is filed under the name Daphnia magna. RNAcentral describes it as "uncharacterized LOC116928979, transcript variant X3". The record is from RNAcentral. Lineage: Eukaryota; Metazoa; Arthropoda; Branchiopoda; Diplostraca; Daphniidae.
AGUUCAUAGAGAUAGCAGAGCAUAAAUUUCUAUGACUCCUGUCUGGUUGGUCGUAUAAAUUAAACUGUGGAUGAACAUUUAUCGAAAAGAGUUCACUUUCUUUUAAUUAUUUUUAAGGCAAAAAUAGCAUUAGCAAGAGGAGCUCAGGGCGAGCAGACAUUUGCAAAAAAUGGAGGCCACAGCUAUGGACGAGUUUCAGAAUGUAAAGUUGUCUUUGAGAGAAUUCAGCAAAGCAAAGUUCAAGAUGCUUGAGGAUAUUCGAGCCAUUCAAAUCGAAAUAAAGGUUGUUCAACAACGUUCAUUCCGUCUGAGAGAUGAACUUCGAGAAGGUCGAACUCGUUACGAAGAAUUUCUUUCCCACUGCAAUGAACUUCGCAAAAGACUACUUCAACUCUCAAGUUACCAGCUGGAAAUCCCAUGUCUACAGUCCCGUUACAACGAAUUGGCCGCAAAUCUCAAUUCCAAGAACCAAGAAAGCGAGAAGCAUCUGAAUUGCCUCAAGGCAGAUUUUGCCAGGCAGCGAAACGAGACAGCAAGCGAAUAUGCAAGAAAGGUGGAAGAGAAGCGGCAGCAACUGGAGCGUGAACUGUCGUCCUUUCGUUCUGAUUUAGCUGCUCACGACGAGGAGCAAAUACUGCGGGAGCAAGCGCGAAGGCAAAACGAUGAACUAGAAUGUUUACGGGCUACCAUCGUUAUAGAAAUGGAACAAGAGAAAGAAACUGCUCACCACAAUUGUGAACUGAGAGUGCAGAGCUUAAGGACUACAAUUCAGGAGCUUGAAAGCAAAAUCAACAAGAUCCGCCAAGGCUUUUGACGUCUAUUCACGCUUCAACCUGUUACUUAACACCUAAUUUUUACUUCGAUAAAUUAUUUGGCCACGAGACUGGAUAGAGUCUAUUUUGUAACACUAAAACAAGUCUUACAGGAUAUUUGUGGUAUUCAUAGUUGCGUUCUCCCAAAAAAGCUUCCUUUCUGUAUCCUUCUUCUCGUUUAAUCACUUCAGAAAUAACCACCAUGAGGCCACGAAAACCGCCGUAAAGGCUCUGAGACUAAUGGAAACAAAUGUGACGACCCCAGGAAAGUAAUUACAACACGAAAUAAUUGGUUAGCCCACACAGUUAUAAAGACAAUAGGCAAUAUUUGUCGGAGCGCGAUGGGCUG